Long non-coding RNA from Sapajus apella (tufted capuchin), 6218 nucleotides. RefSeq lists it as uncharacterized. NCBI's taxonomy places the organism in Eukaryota, Metazoa, Chordata, Mammalia, Primates, Cebidae. The transcript has 16 exons. The record is from RefSeq and is a predicted model, not a curated record.
AUACUGGCCAGCAUCUCCAAACUCUUUGACUUGAAUGAUCAGGUUUUUUCCAGAGCCUAAGACCUCAUUGCUCUCGUCCAAGGUCCAGGUGAUACCAUCUUCUUCAGGGGUGUCACAGCUCUACAUAGACCCAGGAAAAAAUUACUUCAUGUCCCUGUAAAAACUUUUUCACAAACUUAAGUGCACCGGCUUUGAAAUGAGACAGAAUUGGGAUCAAGUCCCUGUUCCACCCUUACCAGAAGGUCUUUUGGUUGCUCACAAGGGGACAUCAAAGAUGACAGAAAGGAGUGGAAGAAGACGGAGAGAAUCAAUGUGAGGAGCCGGGAACAGGAUUCUGAAUUGUCCUUCCACAAUGAAAUCACUUGGCUAUAGCUGAGCCACGGAUUUGACUCUGAGCAUCUAGGAUGAGAAAGAGGAACUGGCAUCUGUCCAUCUCUGCCCCAUGGGACUGACUGUUUUGGAACAUCCGGCCGGAAGCCCAUUAAAGAGCGGAAGAGCAGAAAUGCAGAGGAGGAAUUCAACAUCUGCUCCACCAGCAUGUUCCUUGGUCUCUCUCAUCUGCUUCUGUAGCUGGAUCACAUUCCUGGAUCUUACCAGGAAAACUGAAAGAAUUCACAGAGCCUUUGAAAAAAGCAGCAGGCUGUAGCCUACUCCAUGAGACAGGUGAAAAAUUUCUUCUAGUAAAAUUGAUGCUCCAAGAAGAUACACAACGUUGGCCAUGUGGAUUCUGCUAUCUUCUACUUGGAUCUCAACCUGGAUCUUGUGCAAGUUUGAGAAGCAUAGAUUAGCUACAGAUUUCUUCAUUAAAACUUUCCCCCAAAGAGGAAAGCAUACGUCUAGCAAAUACCCCAUCAAGUUAAAGCUGAGAUGGUGGGACCACCCUCUGUACCUAUGAAGUGGCAUUGAGUGCACAGAUGCUAUGCUAGAGAGAGCAUGUGGAGAGACUCCACAGAGAGUGAUGUCCAAGGAUCCUCUGCUGUUCCUGCCUUUGAGCCAACCCAGCUGAUGCCAGUAGAGCAGAGAUGAGCUGUCCCCACCAAGUCCUGCGAAGAUUGCAGAUUUGUGAACAAAGAUGGCCAGUUGAAGUCAAAGGGGGCUUUCAAGAAGGAUCUAAUGAAGGCUUGUAAGAAGAACCUCCCUACCAAUGAAGUCAACAAGCCUAUCUUCAUGGGAAGCCACCUUUCCUGGAGAAGAAAUCUUGCUUCUUGGAGACAACUGCCUUUAAGCUCAUGGAUUAACGUACCAGGAUGUUAAAUUGACUUUCAUUGUAUUCUUAGAGCCUUAACUGAGACCCCAGAACAAAGAAAGAGCCUACACAUAUCCCUUAAUUGACUUGAAGAAGGCCAAGAGAGGUAUUUCUAAGUAACUGAAGUAAUGCUUGAAUGUUGGCCGAAGAGCACUGCAGUGCGCGUAAGCUCUGGUGAACCCCAUCUAGUCAGUUGCAAGCUUAGAGCCAAAACUGAAGUUUUCUAGAGAAGAAAUUCAGCGUCAAGACUGUAGCCUAGAAGUCCUGCCCAAGUUUCCAACCUGCUGGCCCGCCCUAUGGAUUUCAGAUUCAAGACUGCAACAUCAACUUUUACUUGAAAUUCCAGCCUACAGAGUCACUAAACUGCAUGGAUAUAAGCUUGAAGCUGCAGGUGGCCAUAAACGCUUGAGGAGAUCCUGGGCCUGAAAAUGAAGGCAACAUAAAGGAAAACCAAAGCGAGACAGAGAGAGAGAUACAUUCCUUGAACAUGAUGCCUGAAGUUCUCCAAAAGCCCAAUAGAAUAAACACAAGCUGCCACUUGGGAAAACAAUUCUCAAGAAAAGCCCUGCUGGGGAGGAAAAAGUAAGGCAAUCCAAAAAGCUGCCAAGUGACCACAUUUUUGGUGGAAUGGGUAAAAAAGGCAAAUUUAACCUCUGGCAGACCUUGAUUGGAAACAUUUGUGAACAUUUUACCUGGUGAUGAGUCUUGGGUUUUACAUCAGCCAACAGCCAUGACAGGAGACGACAGAAAAAAGGGGGAAUCUUUUACAGGCUUGUAGAAAGAUAAAUCUGAAAAGGAGUUUUUCCCCAUAGACCAGCUCUGCUUAUGAGAUGCUCACAGUGAGUUGUCAGAACAGAGAACCUUGAGGUAGGCAUUAAUAAGAAUUGCACUAACUUUCCCUGAGGGACCAAGAAACUGGGAUUCUCUAGCCAACGUUUUGUCCUCAGAACCACUGCUCACCCAGCUCCACGGAGGAUUUUCCCCUCAGCCUAUCCCUCAGGGCUUACCUUGUACACAGUUUCAGCUACUACUGGAAAAUGACUCCGCCAAAGAAUUACUGUUGGAAUAGAUGCUCCUAACUCCUUUGCUAGAAUAAACAAGGAUUGUGGGUUGAAUAUAAAUUAUUAAAAUGUAUUAACUUUCUUCUGGACAAGUCUGGUGCUAGUUAUCACCUUUGCCUCCAGGAAAGGUAAAUGGGUUGUGUGUGUUGCGGGCUGAACUGGCACCUGAAAAAAUUGUUAAGUAGCAAAGUUUGUCUUGAUGACUCCUGUUCCAGAACAUCCCCUAUUCCCUUUCUGGGGUCUCUUUUGCCGCCCACCAUUUCCAUUCCUGUGUCUUUCUGAACACCUGGCACCUCCUAUUAGCUUUAUGGGCCUGUCUCUUCUCCAAGUGCAGCUGUGCCUCAGCCCCCACCAAGGCUCCCUUCUCCUCUGUGCCACUAUGCCAAUGAGAUUUCCUGAUGGGUAGGGUAUCAGAUUUCCUGAUGGGUAGGAUAUAAUUUAGUAUCCAAAACUGGACAAUUUUAAGAGUAAAAGAGAGCUGAGCUAUUAAUAAUAGUUUUAGUCUUUUUAGGCCACUAUAAUAAAAUAGUAUGGACUGGGUAGCUUAUAAGCAACGGACAUGUAUUUCUUACAGGUCUGGGGCCUGGGAAGUCCAGGAUCAAGAUGCUGGCAGAUACAGUGUCUGGUGAGGCCUGCUUUCUGAUUCAUAGAUGGUGCCUCCUCACUGAGUCCUCACAUGGUGGAAGGGGCAAACAAGCCCCCUUGGGCCUCUUUUAUAAGGAAACAAUCCCAUUAAUGAGGGUGGAACCUCACAAAAUGUCCCGCCUUCUAAUACUAUCACCUUGGGGGCUAGAAUUUCAACCUAUGAAUUUUUAGGGGGACAUAAACUUCACAGCAUGUCAUUAUACCUACAUGACAACAUUUUAGUUCACCCCCGAGAGUAUAUUUGUAUUUCCACAGGGGUCUUCUAAUGAUAUUUUGUUUUGACCUAGAAAAAGACUCCUAAGGUUGAAGAUUCUGAUGUUCUGACAUAGUAACAGCAAAGCCAUCACCCAUGUAACCACAUGUUUCAGGAGAAGCUGACCCUACAGCCAGCUCCACUGGUAAGUCUAAUUGGUCCAAGGGUCAUCUUUAUCCCUGUACCAGAGAUUGGCUCAUGGGGCUAAUGACCCAGCUCCAGCCAAUGACACAUCAGGGGAAUCUGCUGGAGGAUUUCCAAAAAGAGUUUCCUCAUUCCAAACAGAAGACCAUAAGAAAAGAUUGUCAUGCCUAUAAUUGCUGCAGCUAUUUUAAUUCCAGGUAUGAGGCUGAAACAAUCUUUGAUGGCCAAGUGAAGAGAUGGAAAAAGCAGGAUCCAGGAUGACUUUGUGAGUUGCUAGGUUACCAACCCCUGCUCUGCUUCUGGACUUCAAAUAUGAAACGACACUUGUUUUCUUACUUAAGUCCUUAAGUCGGGGUUUUCUGUUAAUUAUAGCCAAUAACACUCAGAUAUGCCAUGAAAUUUAAGAAUGUGAAAUAAUGGCCUUGACUUUCACAGAACUGGAAGGAAUGUGACUGUCAUGUCACUAACUGUCACUAUCACUUGUUGGACAAUUAAGGCUGCUAUUUAUCUUACCUUGUGUUGUUGCUUAUCUUUCUAUGGGAUUAUGUUGAAUAUGCAUCCAAUCUGGAACUUUAAAAAAUCAAAGUCAGUGAUAGAUCUUUUACUUCUUUGUAGGCCUAUAAUCCAUUACAUAACCCACACAUUUCCUGUCAAUCAUUAACUCCCUUCUUAUUCUAACCACAUCGAUUUUUUUGGAAGGUGACCAAAAUGCUAUCUCUAUUUGGAGAUAAUAAUUAGUCUCAUCUUCAUUGGUUUCCUCUUGAAUGUGGAGGGAAUUAUCAGAUGAGUAAAUUGGAACAUGGUGGCCAUGUGGCCUGCUGCCCCCGUGUACCACUUGGAGACCAGCCUGGCAUGGAAAUGACCAGAUGUUGGAAGCUGAGCUGUUGGUGAGUGAAAUGAAUAAGUUAGCUGUUCCACUUCCCAUCUGCAUGGACAGCUUCUGCAUUGCAAAACUGCCGGUGCUUGUCAUUUCACAUGGCAGCAGUUAAUCUCUUAACCCCUUCCUAAACUUGGCGUUGGAAAGCCCUCAAUGGCCAAUUAGGCUGUGUGGGUAUAUGUACACUAGUGCCCAUCGGCCACAGGAAUAGAAGCAGUGGCACAAUUCAGAUCACUACCAAGAUACACAGAUGCUCCUGGAUCUGAGGAAGUGACCUAUAGAAAAUGAAGAAUGACCAGAUAAAGGCAAUAAGAAUGGAAGUAGAGGGGCUUAUUAAGCAGCUCUGGUUAAGCAGAGAAAGGAUGAUGGUUCCACAUGUAGAGUGUGCCAAAAAUGGGCUUGUUUCACAGGUUAUUUGAACACAGAAGCAGAGCUUUCUUUCUCUCUCCAUUCAUUAUUUUUCUGAGUAGACUAAUAAUAUACGCUUUUUGUGAAACAUUUGAAAAAUGGAAGAAAGUAUAAGAAAAAAAUAAAAAUCACCUAUACACUUAUCUCCUAAUAUAUCUGUUCAGGCCUUUUUUUCUAGUUUUGUGAUCAUAUUUUUUCAGUCAACAAAUAUUUUUAUUUCCACAAAUAUUUAAUGCAUUUUGUAUGUGUCAGACACCAUGCCAGGUACUACGAAUAUACUUGUGUUCAAUAAUUUGCAUAAUUCCUUAUCUCCUAGAACUUUGAGUCUAGCAGAAGUGAGAUAGAAACACACAACUGCAUUAAGAAUUAUUUAAUCUCAAAUUUGACAAGCUCAGCAAAGAACAAGUAUGAAGUUUUCUGGAAGAAUGGGGCAUCCUAACCUAGCCUGGAUGUAGGGAGUGCACCUAAAAGAAAAUAUCUGAAGGUGAGACUGGAAUAGUGAGAAACUGCUGGCCAGAGGUCAAUGUGCUGGUCCUAGAGGGGUAGAGUAGGGCAGGCUGGGAACAGAAAGGAAAAUUGCUGGUUGGGGAAUAGCUUGCCUGAGGUCUUGAUGAGGAGACAGUGACUCGAUGGGGGUGAAGUGGCUUUGUGGAAAUUAGGAAGAAAAAUAGAAGCCAGAUCCCACAGGACAAGUAUUGACAAACAGCAGCCCAGGGGCCAAAUCCAGCACCCCACCUGUUUUUGUGAAUAAAAUUUUAUUGGAACAGAGCCACAUCCAUUGAUUUAAAUAAUUUCUGUGGUUGUUUUCACACCACACUGGCAGGGAUGAAUAGUUGUUACAAAGACUGUAGGGUCCACAAAGCUUAAAGUAUGUACUAUCUGGCCUUUUCCAGAAAAUUUUGCUGACCCCCGCUAUGGGGUUUUGUGAUUGAGCAUAUGGUGGAAUUCUUUUACCACAAGUACAAUGGGAAGACUUCGAGAGGAAAGCAAGGAAGAAAUCAUCAGAUUUUUCUUUUAAAAGAACUUUAGCUACAGAAGUAUGUAGAGAUUAGAACUGGAGACUCUGGAUGGAUAUUGGACACCUAAGAGUAUCCAGGAUACAGGGGUUGGUGGUUUGGACUCAGGUUGUGUCAAGCGAGCACAGAAUAAAAGAGACAGAUUUGAGGUCUCUUUAGCAAUUGUAUGGGACAGGACUUCCCAAUCAGGUGGCUGAUUGGGAAGGGGAAGUAAGGAUAGAGAGGUGUUCAGGAACACCCAGGUUUCUGCCUGGUGCAUCUGCGUGGAUGAGGGUGUCAUCAGCCACAUUGGGAGCUGUUGGGGAGAAGCAAGAGUGAGAGGGAAAGUCAGGAGCUUUUAGCACCUGUCUAGCUUAGUCACGGUGGGUAAUACAAUAAAUCCCUAUUAAUGGACAUGUAGAUUGUUUCUAUUAUUUUUCUUUUUAAAAUAAUGCUGUGAUGCAGUAAAAGGAACAGUCGGCAGAGUAAACAGGCAACCCACAGAGUGGGGGAAAUCUUUACAAUCUAUACACCUGACAAAGAACUAAUAUCCAGAAUCUACAAUGAACUCAAACAAAUCAGUAAGAAA